RNAcentral lists this long non-coding RNA (926 nucleotides) under Homo sapiens (human). RNAcentral's name for it is "HSALNT0385112". The record is from RNAcentral. Lineage: Eukaryota; Metazoa; Chordata; Mammalia; Primates; Hominidae.
ACAGCUUCAACACUCAUCGGUGUAUGAGUGGUUGAAGUAUAGCUCCUGGGAUUGGCCACGACUCAGCUGUUGUUACAGGUGUGUACUCCUAUGUUCGGUUUUCAAUUUUGUCUACCUAUUAAGUUAGGUUGCAGUUUGUCCACAAGGACUCAAAUAUAGAAGUACAGAGUCCAUAUUUAGUUUGUGUUAACAAAUCCCAGCACUUUGGGUGGCUGAGGUGGGAGGAAUACUUGAGCUCAGGAGUUAGAGACCAGCCUGGGCAACAUAGUGAGAUCCCAUCUCAAGUAAAAUUCUCUGGGUCAAAUCGUUUCUCCUUAAAAAUUUUUUUAACUGGGAAAACUUGGCGAGGGUAUAUAGGAACCUCCCGAACUAUCUUUAAAGCCAUUUGAUAAAUCUAAAAUUACUACACAAGAAAGAAAUACUUAAAACACAGCUUUCAAAAUAAAAUAUUGAAUUGCUUUUGAUUUAAUCUUAGUUUAGUUGUGGGCAUCAGUUUCAUUUUUUACCCACAAGGUCCCCAGACUUAGAGAUCCAGGAGAUGAACUCAAGAGCAGCCCGUUGCCUGCAGUGGCUGACAUGAAGCCUUUCUGCGUCAUCGGUGUCUUGUCUGAUGCUUCCCCAGUGGAAUUUCCUGCUGUGUUCCUGGGAAACCCAAGCAACCAGAAGUUCAUCCAAUUAUUUAUUUGCUUCGAGUCAUCCGGAUGUAAAAGUAUGCAGCUAUCAUAUACUGGUGAAGACUCCUUCCAUGUAAACAUCCACAUACUCUGGGGAAACCUGCUGCCAAAGUAGGAGGAUUCCAAAGGACCUAGAGGAAGAAAAAGCUACAAUAUGGAAGACACCUGAGUUUCUGAAGGACUGUGUGGAGCACUUCCUUCUGCUGAUGAACAUGUGCUAUGAAAAAUAAACUUAUUUUGUUUAGCAACUAA